GUGAGGAAUAUUGGACAAUGGGCGCAAGCCUGAUCCAGCCAUGCCGCGUGCAGGAAGACGCAUCUAUGGUGUGUAAACUGCUUUUGUACGGGAAGAAACACUCCCUCGUGAGGGAGCUUGACGGUACCGUAAGAAUAAGGAUCGGCUAACUCCGUGCCAGCAGCCGCGGUAAUACGGAGGAUCCAAGCGUUAUCCGGAAUCAUUGGGUUUAAAGGGUCCGUAGGCGGUUUAAUAAGUCAGUGGUAAAAGCCCAUCGCUCAACGAUGGAACGGCCAUUGAUACUGUUAGACUUGAAUUACAAGGAAGUAACUAGAAUAUGUAGUGUAGCGGUGAAAUGCUUAGAUAUUACAUGGAAUACCAAUUGCGAAGGCAGGUUACUACUUGUGGAUUGACGCUGAUGGACGAAAGCGUGGGGAGCGAACAGGAUUAGAAACCCGGGUAGUCC
This 445-nucleotide ribosomal RNA is filed under the name uncultured bacterium. RNAcentral's name for it is "partial 16S ribosomal RNA". It matches the Rfam family "Bacterial small subunit ribosomal RNA", at positions 354 to 796 of the family's 1533-position model. The record is from RNAcentral.